This 1017-nucleotide ribosomal RNA is filed under the name uncultured organism. Its description in RNAcentral is "bacterial SSU rRNA". It matches the Rfam family "Bacterial small subunit ribosomal RNA", at positions 355 to 1375 of the family's 1533-position model. The record is from RNAcentral.
UGAGGAAUAUUGGUCAAUGGACGAGAGUCUGAACCAGCCAAGUAGCGUGAAGGAUGACUGCCCUAUGGGUUGUAAACUUCUUUUAUACGGGAAUAAAGUUAGCCACGUGUGGCUUUUUGUAUGUACCGUAUGAAUAAGGAUCGGCUAACUCCGUGCCAGCAGCCGCGGUAAUACGGAGGAUCCGAGCGUUAUCCGGAUUUAUUGGGUUUAAAGGGAGCGUAGGCGGGUUGUUAAGUCAGUUGUGAAAGUUUGCGGCUCAACCGUAAAAUUGCAGUUGAUACUGGCGACCUUGAGUGCAACAGAGGUAGGCGGAAUUCGUGGUGUAGCGGUGAAAUGCUUAGAUAUCACGAAGAACUCCGAUUGCGAAGGCAGCUUACUGGAUUGUAACUGACGCUGAUGCUCGAAAGUGUGGGUAUCAAACAGGAUUAGAUACCCUGGUAGUCCACACAGUAAACGAUGAAUACUCGCUGUUGGCGAUAUACGGUCAACGGCCAAGCGAAAGCAUUAAGUAUUCCACCUGGGGAGUACGCCGGCAACGGUGAAACUCAAAGGAAUUGACGGGGGCCCGCACAAGCGGAGGAACAUGUGGUUUAAUUCGAUGAUACGCGAGGAACCUUACCCGGGCUUAAAUUGCAACUGACUGAACCGGAAACGGUUCUUUCUUCGGACAGUUGUGAAGGUGCUGCAUGGUUGUCGUCAGCUCGUGCCGUGAGGUGUCGGCUUAAGUGCCAUAACGAGCGCAACCCUUAUCGAUAGUUACUAGCAGGUCAUGCUGAGGACUCUAUUGAGACUGCCGUCGUAAGAUGUGAGGAAGGUGGGGAUGACGUCAAAUCAGCACGGCCCUUACGUCCGGGGCUACACACGUGUUACAAUGGGGGGUACAGAAGGCAGCUACACGGCGACGUGGUGCUAAUCCCGAAAGCCUCUCUCAGUUCGGAUUGGAGUCUGCAACCCGACUCCAUGAAGCUGGAUUCGCUAGUAAUCGCGCAUCAGCCACGGCGCGGUGAAUACGUUCCC